RNAcentral lists this ribosomal RNA (678 nucleotides) under uncultured Thermoplasmatales archaeon. Its description in RNAcentral is "bacterial SSU rRNA". It matches the Rfam family "Archaeal small subunit ribosomal RNA", at positions 51 to 734 of the family's 1478-position model. Lineage: Archaea; Methanobacteriati; Thermoplasmatota; Thermoplasmata; Thermoplasmatales. The record is from RNAcentral.
AUGCGAGUCGAGAGAUUCCGGAUCUCGGCAGACCGCUCAGUAACACGUGGAGAACCUACCCUAAGGAGAGGGAUACCCUCGGGAAACUGAGGACAAUACCUCAUAGUCGACUCUGACUGGAAUGUCUUGUCGAUGAAAUGUUCCGACGCCUUAGGAUGGCUCUGCGGCCUAUCAGGUAGUAGUCAGGGUCACGACCUGACUAGCCGACGACGGGUACGGGCGUUGAGAGACGUAGCCCGGAGAUGGAUUCUGAGACACGAAUCCAGGCCCUACGGGGCGCAGCAGGCGCGAAACCUUCGCAAUGCGCGAGAGCGCGACGAGGGGACCCCCAGUGCCGGCACUUAGUGUCGGCUGUUCGGAUGCUUAACCACCAUCCGGAGGAAGGGCUGGGUAAGACGGGUGCCAGCCGCCGCGGUAAUACCCGCAGCCCAAGUGGUCACCGAUGUUACUGGGCCUAAAGUGUCCGUAGCCGGCUUGGCAAGUGCCCGGGUAAAUCGGAUCGCUUAACGAUCCGAAUUUCGGGCGAACUGCCAGGCUAGAGACCGGGAGAGGCCGAAGGUACUCCAGGGGUAGGGGUGAAAUCCUGUAAUCCCUGGGGGACCGCCGGUGGCGAAGGCGUUCGGCUGGAACGGGUCUGACGGUGAGGGACGAAGCCCUGGGGAGCAAACCGGAUUAGAU